CGCACCUUGCGCCCUUUGGUAUUCCGAAGGGCAUGCCUGUUUGAGUAUCAUUAAUACCUCACUCUUGAAUUCCUCUGUGAAGUCAAGCAAGUGGAUGUUGGAGGGUUUUGCAGGCCAUCUCUGGUCAGCUCCUCUUAAAUGAAUUAGCGGAACUCUAUGCAGUACCAGCCUCGGUUUGAUAAUCCUAUCUAUGCUGUCGCUGUUGGACUGUGCUGUUUGGCUUACAACCGUCUUUGGACUGUCGCUCACGUGGCAUAACACCAAUCUUGAUCUCAAAUCAGGUAGGACUACCCGCUGAACUUAA
RNAcentral lists this unclassified non-coding RNA (304 nucleotides) under Clavulinopsis sp. RNAcentral describes it as "partial contains 5.8S ribosomal RNA, internal transcribed spacer 2, and large subunit ribosomal RNA". Lineage: Eukaryota; Fungi; Basidiomycota; Agaricomycetes; Agaricales; Clavariaceae. The record is from RNAcentral.